Molecule: ribosomal RNA, 434 nt
Filed under: uncultured bacterium
Lineage: Bacteria
Description: bacterial SSU rRNA
Rfam family: Bacterial small subunit ribosomal RNA
Source: RNAcentral
ACUCCUACGGGAGGCAGCAGUGGGGAAUAUUGCACAAUGGGCGCAAGCCUGAUGCAGCCAUGCCGCGUGUGUGAAGAAGGCCUUCGGGUUGUAAAAGCACUUUCAGUCGUGAGGAAGGUAGUGUAGUUAAUAGCUGCAUUAUUUGACGUUAGCGACAGAAGAAGCACCGGCUAACUCCGUGCCAGCAGCCGCGGUAAUACGGAGGGUCCAAGCGUUGUCCGGAUUUAUUGGGUUUAAAGGGUGCGUAGGCGGCCCUAUAAGUCAGUGGUGAAAUCCUUCAGCUCAACUGGAGAACUGCCAUUGAUACUGUAGGGCUUGAGUACAGACGAGGUAGGCGGAAUUUAUGGUGUAGCGGUGAAAUGCAUAGAUACCAUAAAGAACACCUAUUGCGAAGGCAGCUUACUAGACUGUAACUGACGCUGAGGCACGAAAGC